This 19860-nucleotide long non-coding RNA is filed under the name Erythranthe guttata (spotted monkey flower). RNAcentral describes it as "long non-coding RNA (EGUT_LNC003400)". The record is from RNAcentral. Lineage: Eukaryota; Viridiplantae; Streptophyta; Magnoliopsida; Lamiales; Phrymaceae.
AAUUCACCUCCGUAAGAUCUACAUACCUCCAAAAUCCCUUCAAAUUGAACCACCCAACAAACAGAAUCCUAAAAAAACCAUCCACCUUAUCAAAUUUAACCCUAACAAAAACCCGCAGCAGCAGCAGCAGUUCCCAAUUAACCACCCAUUCCGAGAAACCCUCCGACAGCGAUUGGGAAUUUCCGGACGAAGUAAUCGGAGAAGAAGAUGGAGAUGAAGACGAGGGCAGCCCCUGGGAAGGCGCGAUUUUGUACAGGCGAAACGCCGCCGUUUCGCAUUUGGAGUACUGCACUACUCUCGAGAGGCUAGGGUUAGGAAAGGUAUCCUCGGAAUUCUCGAAGAACCGGGCUUCGGAGAUGGGGUUGCGCGUGGUGAAAUCCGUGAAGGAUUUUCCCGACGGAACUCCGGUGUUGAUUUCCGCAGAUGUUACUCGGAGGAAGCAGAAAUUGAGGCUCGACGGAAUUGUUCGAACUGUCAUUUCUCUUAAUUGCAACAGGUAUUUCCUUUUUUUUUUUUUUCUUCUUUUUUUUGUGCAGCAUUGAUUUAAUUGUGCUUGUGAUAUAUUUACAUUGUUUUUUUUUUGCUUAUAUAUUUAGUUCUUGUGGAUGUUUGAUUGCUGUAUUCAAUCAUAUGCUAUUACAAUUACGAUGAUCUUCGAAAGUUACGACGGCGGACAAUUGAAAACUAGUGCAUUUGAAAAAGCUAAGAGAUUUUUUUUAGGUUUCAACCGAACUUCGAGAAAUUAUCUUACGUAGAUCUAAUAACGCAAAUGAAUACUUGGAUUAAUGUAAUUUAUUUCACGUAUAGAGUACGUAGUAUAGUUAACUUGCUCGCAGUUAUUUGCCAUUGAUCGAUAAUCUAGAAUCGAACCAGCCACUUAAGAGUAUAAAUUGUUUAAUCGAAAAGAUAUAAAAGUAAUCAUUGUAUAUUUGUUUGGUUAGCAUUUGAUAAGAAUCGGAAGUGAAGGUAUCGUUUUUUUUGUGUGCUUUUUGGGCCUUAUAAGUUUUUGGCUUGUUAACGAUGUCACAUCGGAAUCAUUCAAUGUUAUAUGUCGCAAAUUUUAUUUAAAUCGAAAAAGAUGGGAUGGUAUUUGUUUUGCAUUGGAUCCCAUUAUUAUUGGGAGGAGAAAAAAAUCGGAUUGAUAUUUGGGCCUGAGUGUAUACAAAUAGUCGUUCCGAUGAGAAAUCUGCAUGUAGAUGGAUUUGGGCCUAAAUAAAGAAAACUUCAAAAAUUUUAAAUAAAAAUUUUAAUUUAUUUUCUUUCGAUUAGAAUACUCGUUCUGCUUAUCGUGCAACAUGCGAGACGAUUAAUUAGCCAAAAUGCUUGACUGUUCUUUUAUUUGUGUAACUCGAGUAUUUGUUUAAGUAAGUAAUUUAUCUUAAUUUACCAAUUUGUGAAGGUGUGGCGAACCAGCUGCGCAGAGUAUCUACUCCGAUUUCUCACUUUUACUGUGUGAAGAACCCCUCCAAGAAUCCGAAACCAUAAACUUGGGUACAAUUUUUGGAGACGAGAAAUUAAAAACCGUCGAAGCAGAAGACAGUGAUGAUAGCUUAAUCGAUUUAGACGAUCAGUUAUAUUUUCCUCCAGACGAAAAAGUGGUCGAUAUUUCGAAGAAUAUAAGAGACCUUAUACAUGUGGAGAUCACCAUUACAGCUGUGUGUGGUCCUAAUUGCAGAGGAUUAUGCCUCGAUUGCGGCGCUAAUCUCAACAUUAGUAAGUGUAUCUGCGGGAAGAAGAAGGUUCAGGAAAAAGGCUACGGUGGGCCCCUCCGAGAUUUGAGAGAGCAAAUGCAGCAAACAUAAAUUUCACUUUUUUUUUUUUUUUUUUUUUUUAAUUUUUAUUUUAAUAAUAAAAAAACAAUUAUUUGAGAAAUUUAUUUUUGUUGUAAAUAUUUUUAUUUUUAAGGAAUGGGAAAUGAAUCUGCAGGUUUGAGAGUGAUGAAUUUGCAUGCAGCACAUGGAAUUUUUUAUUUGCACAAGUCUGGAAUCUUUUGAAAGCUCAAUUUACCAGUUUUCUCAGCAAUGAUUGACUUGAAAAAUAUAUAUAUUGAUCACCCAUAAAAAUAUAUCUUUGUUGACGAGGGAAUAAAUGAAAUAGUUUUAUGUUCCUUUGUAGGUAUAUCUGUUGUUGUGGUGGUGGUUGUUGUUGUCGUCGUCGUCGUCGUUGUUGCUGUCGUUGUUGUUGUUGUUGUUGUAACAAAUAAUUUCGUGAGCAGCUUGAAGGCGAACCAAGAUCGAGAUCCAUAAUUUCGUGAGCAGCUUGAAGGCGAACCAAGAUCGAGAUCCACUGAGUUGUCUAGAAAUUAUAAAUUUAAUCAAAGAAAUCCUCACAAAAGAUAUACCUCAUAAGUAAAUUUACAAAAACUAAAAACAAAUGGCACGACUACAACAAACAAUCAACCAAUCAUAUAAAAUUACAUCCUACAAUAUACCAAAAGUAAUCAAUAAUUCUAAAAAAAAUACCAUAAGCAAUGAUUGGUCUUUGAUGGCACACUCCUCCUUAACAUGGAGACAAUUGUGGAUUAUACUAGGGAUGGCAGCGGAGCGGGUACCCUCGAAAAAGUGCAAUACCAGAACCAUUACCAUUUAAUAUAGCUCAAACCAUGACCAUACCAAACCCAUUUAAAAAGUUCAUGGAAAAACCAGAACCAUUACCGCGAAUAUCCGGGUACCCACGGGUACCCAUUUACCAUUUAAAUUACGGUAAUAAAAAAUUACUUUGGGUCCGAUAACGUAUAAGUAACUCUCAGAAAAGAGAAAGAAAAAAAGAAAAGAGAAAAAAAUAUAUCCUCCCUAAAUUAUUUAAUACUUUAUUGAAAAUUUUGCCAAAAUAUAUUUUUUAUUCAUAUUUUGUUGAAUAUAUAUAUAUAUAUAUAUAUAUUAAAUGGUCGGGUACCCAUGACCGUCAAGGUAAAACCAGAACCAUACCAAAACCAUUACCAAACCCUAAUGGUUUCGGUAACGGAUUUUAAACGGAGCGGAUACCCGCGGAUAGCUAGCGGUUCGGGUUUUUUUGCCAUCCCUAGAUUAUACUGCUACAGAAUGAUGUUAUAUUGCUAUGGAAGAGCAGCAUCAAACAAAUCCAAACCAUGGCGACUUAUAUUGUUUGACGAGGAAACAAAUAUUUAUAAACGAAAAAAAUAGCGGUUCAACAAAAUACUGGUGGGAAUACAACGAGACAGUAGAUCGUGAGAAAAAUUACUACAAUCAUGGGAAGUUUUAUUUCUGUUAACGGGAAUCUAGAAAAAACCGGGCAAAGAAUUUAAGAAGAAAUACUGCCAUUUUAUACGGACAAAUGUGACCCAAAUGAUUUAAAUCUUUCUCGGAUUCUUUUGGAGCAAGAGAAAGACAAUAUAUGAAAAAAUCAAGAAAAAUAAAUGGAAUAUAUAUCGUUUUUAAUAAAGAAUUAAAGUAAAAUGAGAGAAAACAAAAUCCUAUGGACUUUUCUUGGAGUGGAAGAAGGCGAAGGAUGUGAAUCCAUGUUAUCUGCAAACGAUUUUUAAUCUGCUCUUUCACACUUGCUUUUUUUCCUUUUGUCGUCAUCAUUGGCAGAAAAAACCUUAGGUGUUCAAGAUCUUUUGACAUUAUACAAACAUAAGGGAUCAAAUGAUGGUAAAUUAGCUAGAAUUCUAACGACUCCAACACCACCAACCACAUGCUGCAUAAAUCUGAAAUCCGCGAUAAAAGAAUUGAAUUCACAAAGCAAUUUCAUGAGAAAAAAUAGUGAAACUACAACAUAAACGAUCAUGACGCGAUAAUGAGAAGGACAAUAUUUAAAAAAAAAAAUAGCUACUACAAUCACAAAAAUUCCUACACCACAAAAACAGAAGCAAAUGAAAAAACUACCAUGCUUCCUUUAUUUUCUCUGUUUCACUUAUUAAUCAAGUAAAAACAUAGAUUCAUUUACAAAGGGCUGAACAAACUGCGAAAAAAUUAAAAUACUUAGAAACUCUCAAAAGGCCAACUGUCAAUACGCAACUCAGAAACGACAGAAAUUUCAGACGACUCCCCACCGAGGAAUUCAGUUAGGGUAAAGAAAUCGUAAAAUUAUUAGCAACUCAAAAAAAAUCCAAGGAAACCGACCUUUAGUUGAGAAAGAUGGCGCUCAUUAUUCGCAUGAAAACCCGUGGAAGAAGUCAAUAAUAUAGUGUAACGUAUCUUACAGUUAAUAAUGUUUAUCAGUAGGAUUGACUCUAUGUUUCCACCAUAUUCAUGCAAGAGAAAACUUUCUCCUUCGAUAACGACAAUUGAGAUACAAUUCCUGAAAUUGUCCGGCAAUUCAAGAACAAAGGCAACCACUUUCCCAGAGUUCAACUGCAUAAAAAUUAAAGGGGGAAACAAAAACCUAGUUUGUCUCGGAUCAGAAUUUCGUCAUUUAAAUAUAACGAAAACACAAUUCAUUCUAAUUGAGCAAACAAAAAUACACCAGUGAAUUAUCAGAUUAACAAACUCUCUCUCGAGAGAAGGUGUAAAAAUUUUACGACGAUUAACAAUCAAAUCUUUAUUUAUAUUUGAAGAAUAUAAUCGUGUGUCUGGAAGGAAUUGAGGUAGUUUUUCCUUUAAUAUGUGACAGUUUUUUUUUCUAUUCUUAUUUUUUUAAGGGUUAAUAUGCUAUAAGCCCCUCAAACGAAACCGAAUUUGAACUAAAUGACUAGUUCAAAUUCAUUUUUUUAAUUAAAUCCUUAAUUUCAAAUAAUAUAUGGGCCACAUCCCUAUUUUUUUUUAUAUCCCUAUAUUGCCCUUAUACCCUAAAUUAUAUAACAUACAUAUAUUCACGUUUCUCCAAUUCAAAUUUAUUUUUUCUCUCACGUUCUCUCUCUUCCCCCAUCUCUCACACGAUCUGCGGAUCGUUUUUCAAUUCCGUUUUUUUUUCUCGCUCUCUCUCACCUCUCCAUCCCCAUACACCUUUCUUGCUAAUUAAUUCAGUAGUAGCCGAGCCAAGGGUUGUGGUGGAAAGGGAGGCGGCGGGGGCUGUGGUGGAGGAGGAGGCGGCGGCGGCGGGUUGUGGUGGUUGAGAUGGCGGCGGCGGGGGCUAUGGUGGUUGAGUCGGCAUCGGCGAUUGUGGUGGUCUAGGCGGCGGGCUGUGGUGGUCGGGAUGGUGGCGGGGCUGUGGAGGAGGAGGCGGCGGCAGCGGGCUGUGGUGGUCCAGCCGGCGGGCUCUGGUGGUCGAGAUGGCGGCGAGGGGUUGUUGUGGUUGNNNNNNNNNNNNNNNNNNNNNNNNNNNNNNNNNNNNNNNNNNNNNNNNNNNNNNNNNNNNNNNNNNNNNNNNNNNNNNNNNNNNNNNNNNNNNNNNNNNNGGAGGUCCUCUAGGCUGAGGAACGUUCUGAUAAAUUAAAGUUGCUAUUAUAAUAUGUGUGUGUGUGUAUAUAUAUAUAUAUCUUUUCGGAAAAAAAAUGAACGAACUAAGCGGCUGGUGUUUAAUGCACUUAAUAUUGAUGAAGACCUAUAUGAAAUUUUUGGUAUGCAUUUUAAGAAGUGUUGCAGCAUAGAAUACUCAUCAUUUUUCAUCUUUAAUUUCUACUAAUAUAUAUAUAUAUAUAUAUAUAUAUAUAUAUAUAUAUAUAUAUAUAUAUAUAUAUAUAUAUAUAUAUAUAUAUAUAUAUAUAUAUAUAUAUAUAUAUAUAUAUAUAUAUAUAUAUAUAUAUAUAUAUAUAUAUAUUUUUUUAUUUUUUUAUAUAUAUAUAUAUAUAUAUAUAUAUAUAUAUAUAUAUAUUUAUAUAUAUAUAUAUAUAUAUAUAUAUAUAUAUAUAUAUAUAUAUAUAUAUAUAUAUAUAUAUAUAUAUAUAUAUAUAUAUAUAUAUAUAUAUAUAUAUAUAUAUAUAUAUAUAUAUAUAUAUAUAUAUAUAUAUAUAUAUAUAUAUAUAUAUAUAUAUAUAUAUAUAUAUAUAUAUAUAUAUAUAUAUAGAUUGAAUUAACAAAAACGAAAAACGAGUUUUGUUUUGUAAUUUUCAAUAAUAUCGUAGAUUUUUUUUAAUAAUAGUGUAAAAACGAUAGUACACCAUAGUACAACAUAGUACACCAUAGUAUACCAUAGUAUUUUUAAAAUUUGCUGAAUUAUUUAACAAAAAAGAAGAAAAAAAAACGUAAGUUUAAAUGUUAUAAAUAAGGAAAAAAAAUUGUUUAUAUAUAAUAACGUAAAAAAUGUGGAGUGAAAAUUGAAAAAAUAAAGAUGAAUGAAAGGGCAUUUUUGGAAUGAAUUUAAUAAAGGAUGUGAAGCAAAUGUUUAGUUGAGCUUGUCAUUUAAUUCUAAUUAGUUUUGUCACCAGGGACCUAUAUCUUAAGACCCCUUUUUUUAAUUACUUUUCUGCACCUUUUUUUUUUAACUAUUAUUCAGCACGUAUGAAGCAGAAAGUCAGUUUUUGCAAAUUUUUGUUUACCAAAAUAACCCUCGAGUUGCAAAGAUUUCACAAUAAUGGAAUUAGGGUUUCGGGAAAACCUUUCUUUUAUAUAUAUAAAUUAGAUUUUUGGCCCGGGAUUGAAGUAAAAUUAAUACAAAGUAAAGUUCAAUGUACACGACAAAAUUGAAGUUUCAAUUCAUUUUGAUAUUUUGCUAUAUACAUUGAUUAUAAUUCCCCAUCCAUUAACCAAUUUUGCCAUACUUAUUAAUUGAACUUUAUAUUUAUUAUGUAAUAUGGGUUGUAUAUUUAUCUUAUCUUAGUUUAUGUUGAAGUUUGACGAUUUUUUUUCCCACCCAUAAUGGGCUUCAGUAAAUUUACUGUAAAUCAAUGAUGCCAUUAAAUCUCAAGUGUUUUUGAGCAACAACUUUACUUUUAUUAAUAAGAUAAGAACCAAAUAUUUUUGUAAACAAUUAAAUAAUUUUUCCAUCAAAUUAAUAUUAAGUAAAAAUGACAAUUUUGGUGAGAAAAAAUACGUAAAUUUGGGCCGAAAAAGUCUGGAUACUUAACGGAUUUUAUUAAACUUGAUUAUAUUAAAUAUAUUAAAAUAAUAAAAUUGAUUAAUUAAAUAAAUGACAAUUAUAAUUUAUAACUAUCAAAUGAUUGGGAAAUUUUCAUAGGGUUUAGCAGGAACAACCUUACCUUUAUUAAUAAGAGAGCAACUUUACUUUUAUCAAUAAGUUUUAUAAUCAUAGUCGAGUUUAUUAAAUAGUAAUUGGAACAAUUAAAUAUAUUUACUUGUCCUUGUAGUCUAACACUUUCUUCAAAUCCGGAUUGAUCAAUAAGUUUGACACAUUCAAAGCAUUUGAUAAACCCCUUUUUCCUAAUUUUUAUGUGGGUGUGAAAUAAUCAACAAUAUAAUCUUACAAAAUAAAAUAAAACAAUUAUGGCUGAUCUAGGGUUUGGGGUUAAAAAAUACCUAAAUAAGUAUUGGUCCUAAAAAAUUGAAGGAUGACCACAAUAGGUCCAUUGUGAUCAUCUUUGAGAAGAUAUGCAUCCAUUAUUUCGGCAAAAGCUUCCCACAAAGUGCAUCUAAUAGUAUUUUUCCUGAAAAUUAAGUAUAUUGUUAUGAAUAACAUUAAGAGAUCAUCACACAACGAUCUAUAUUUUAAAUACUCUAAGAGGGUGUUUGGCUAAACUUAUUUUAAACAACUGAUAAGCUCUUACGUCUGAUAAGAUGUUUUAAGAGCUGAUAAGUUGUUACAUCUUAUUUUUAGGAUUAAUUUUUAGGGUAUUUGGAUAAUAGGCUUAUUUCCUAUUUUUACUUAUUAAAAGAUCUUAAAUAAAAAGGUGGGUAGAUGUACUUAUUUAAAAAGAUCUUAUUUGCUCUCCAACAACUUAUUUAAAAAAAAAUUAAGAUCUUUUUCUAAAAAAUUACCAAACACUUUGGAAGAACUUAUAAGCUCUAAAACAUCUUAUAAGCUCCUUUUAACAUCUUAUAAGCUUAGCCAAACACCCUCUAAAUCUUGGACGACAAUCUCCAAAAUCUUGUUUUUCUUGUGCUUGUCCUUUAUAUUGAUCUCCUUUAUAGGGCUUUCUCAACCACGUGGCCAAUUAUAUCUGCAACAUUAAAUAACUUAGCAAGUCAAAGGAAAACACAUCAAAAUUUAAUGAUAUAAUCAAUAUAAAAUUAGUAGACUAAUAUGAGUAGUUACAUACCAAACAGUAAGCUCUCAUCCACGUUCUGUUUGAUUGUGUCAAACGUAGCAAACUUAAAAUGGGUUGAUGGAAUCUUAUCGACUGAUGUUUCGAUAACUUUUGUACAUCCCAUAAAGUUCAGUCUAAACUUAUGUGUUGUUGCUCUGAAGCCACCAUUUGAAUCAACCACAAAGAAAUUCUUUACAAAUAUAGCUGGUGCCUUCUUUUAUCAACUCUUAAUACCUAUGAAUGAGCAUUUUUUUAUCCUAGCAUGAAUCUGCACACCCUGAGAUAAAUGUCAGACAGAUAGUUAUGUUUUGAAUACUCGAAACAUAAAUAUAUAAAAAAUAAACAUAAUAAAAAAAUAUAAAAGCACAUUCACCUCCUCAUCAAUAAAAACCAUUUCGAUGCCAACAUUCUCUUUCGGAUUCCACUUAUCUGGUACGAACCACAGACGUAUAACCCGAACCAAUAUAAUCCAAUCAGUCUUUUUGCCCGAAACAAUUUCGUGAAUGAAGGACGUGCUCGUAACCAUGUUUGCUAUUUCUGAUAAAGAACACAAAAACAUAUUACAAAAAAGAAUUAAAUUAUUAUAAAGAACACAAAAAAAUAUAAAACAUGGAAUUAAAUUAUGAUAAAGAACACAAAAAAUAUUAAAAAAAAAACAAAAGAAGAAGAAGGAACUAAUCUAAUACUUUAGAAGAAUCAGACAAAGAAAGAGGAAUUGUACAUUAAUCUGGCAAAACAUAUUAAAAAAAAAAAAAAGGAAUUGUAUUCUGCUAAAAAAUACAAAAAAAUGUUAUAAAAAUAUUGAAUCUAAAUUAUCCGACGAAUGGAGAUGAGAUGAUAUCUAGCGCAGUAGAACGAUCUAUGCCCCUAUUGUUUUUAGAAUGGAGAAAAAUAAAAAAAAUUGAACAAAUUAAAUGUUACAUAGGGUUUUUGGAAAAUUCGAGAUAUAUAAACAUUAACAAACUCAUCAUAUCCUGUUACUUCUGCGAUUAAUCGACAAACCACACAAAACUGACAUAGGAUUUUUGGAAAACUCCAGAUAUAUAAACAUUAACACAUUCAGCAUAUCCCGUUUCGACAAAUCACACAAAACUGGGAAAAAUGGAUGAAAUUUAUUGGAUCGAAUUAAAUCCAGAAAAUUUGAGAUUGAAGAGAUUCCAAAAAUAAUAAAGAGGUGGUAGGUUGAUGAACAAACUUACCUUUUGACUAAUGGAGUUAACUUUUGCAAAGAGAAAGAUACCCACAGAGAAGUGGAAAAAUGAUAUAAAUAGGUAUUUAAGAAAGACAUAGGAGAGGCGAGUGUACAGAGAAGAGAUGGAGAAAGAUAAGUAUCGUAUGAGAUAUGUAUGCAUAGUUACAUUUGGGGAGAAAAAUAUGAGAAAAGAAGUAGGUGAGGCGGGUUGGAUUUUAGAGAGAUGUAGAUUUGGGGUAGAAAUUUGGAGAAAGAGAACCUGACUUGAAGAAGGAUAUAUGGAUUCGGUGUGAAGAAAAGAUUUGGAUAAUUCGGAGUACGAAGAGCCGUGAAGAUGAAGUGGAGUGGGUGGAGCACAAUUCACCAUGGGAUUAGUUAUGUGUGGCUGGAUUUGCGCAAAUUUUGGCAGAGUUGGUUGGGGUUGGCCGGAUCCGGUGGUGGUGGUCGAAUAAGGAUGGUGGGUUGCCAAAUUUGAGGAAGAAGAAAUUGUGAGAUAAUGACGGGGAAAAAAAAUCUCACACAAAAAUGAAGAAUAUGGACAUAGAUGCUAGAUUUGUAAAGAAGAACAAAAAAAAAAGGAAAAAAGAACCGUGAGGGAGAUGAAGUGCAGAGGAGAGAGAAGAAAAGUGGGGGUCAUGAGAAAGAAGAUGUAAAACAAUAAACAACAAUAAACAGUAGACACGGUAAAUUUUAGAACUAAUAAAUGAAAAUUGAAAUAAUAAAAUAAUAAAAGUAAGAAACAAACAAUAAAAGUAAAAAAUAAUUAAAUGAGAACAAAUAAAAGUAAAAAGUAUUAAAUGACAAAUAUAGCCAUAAAAUGAGUGGGAAAGAAACUCUAUGGUUUCACCAGAACAACCUUACUUUUAUUAAUAAUAACUAGUACUUUACAAUAUUAUAAAAAAAGAAAAAAAGUACAGAUUAAUGUACAAUAAUAGAAAAUAUAAUAAUAUAAACAAACCAAAAUUAAUAAAGGUCACGUUUCAAAAUCAACAAAACAAAAUAAAGCAUAUCCAUUCAUUUCUUUUUGAAUUUUGUCAUCAAUAAUUUGGGGCUGGAUAUUUGAAUAACUCCUUCAUCUGAUCUAUCUUACGUAUCAAAAACAUCUCCAUUUAUCUUUUUCAUUGAUUUGCUUCAAGGAUUUGCAUCAUUGUGAGAGGAAAUAAAAUCCUAAAAAAGUAAAUAAAAGAAAUUUGAAGUAUAAAACAUGAUCUUCAUACAACAAAUAUCAUAAUAUUGAGAUUAUGUGCAUUGAGAAUAUACAAUGAAUUGAAUUCCAUCAUUAAAAUAGCCUGUUAGCAAAAGGGGAAAAAAUAUAAGAGAAGCAUAACUUGAUCGUAGAACUAUUCCAUGCAUUUUUCAAAAGAAUCAAUUAACAACAAAUACUACUUGAACGGACUAAUUCGCAGUUUCGCACGCCAUCUACAUGAACAAUAAUCAUUACAAAAACUGAUUUAACAAAUUUCAAAAAAGACUCACACUGAUGAAAGCUCAUAAGAGAUCCAACUUCAGAACGAAAUACUCCAAUUAAUUAGGGGGUAAGUAUAACAAAUCCCAACUUUUGCUUACUUGAAUACUACCAAGUUUAAAACCAUAAUUGAGUACAUAUUUAUAAGUUUUUUCUUACUUUAAUAUCAAAAUAAAAAGAAAAGUACAAAAACACCAUUUCAUACAAAAUAUCAAUUAUAUCAAAAAAAAAUUGAAAUUACCUAUUUUAAAACCAAAUAUAUAAAAAAAAACCCUUCUUUCAAAUUCCCUCCACCGCUGCUCCUCCUCUCCACCGUCGUUCACCGCUGCUGCAACCCUCGCCGCCGCCGCCAAAACCUCCAUUGUUAUCAAGCCGCCGCCGCCUUUGUUAUACAAGUAAUAUUUGUUUUCAAUUUUUUUUCUUUAAUAUUUAUUUAGGAUUUGACUGUUUGAUAUGGAUAAUUAGGAUUUGAUUGUUUUAGGUAGGAAUGAUCGUUAAUUAGUAAUGGAAGCAUCUAGUUUCAGUCGAUUUGAGCAUUCAUUUGAGAUUCGUGGGUCAUUCUUCGUUCACAAAAAUCGACCUGUAUAUGUCGAUUUUUGCAAAAUUUUCGACAGAUUGAUGUCGAAAAUUAUGCAAAAAUCGACAUAUAGUUGUCGAUUUUUGUGAAAUUCUCAAGACGUUCUUAGAUUUUCAGCCCUAAUAUUUCUCAACCAACCGCCUCUCCGCUACCUCCACCACCUCCAUCGCCGCUCCUCGCCGCCGCACGCCGCUCGCCGCCGUCAAUAGCAUCAACUCCGGUCGCCGCUAGCCCACUCCGCUCACCGUUCACUUCCACCGUCUCUCUCUCGACAUGUUUAUUUGAGCUGAUUAGGUGCUCUAUUUUUUUUUUUUUUUUUAUGAGAGAGACCAUAAUAUGCGAAAUGCUACGAAUUUUAGAUCAAACCGCCAAUGACUCCUCACCUCAAUCGCUUCCUAUCAAAGCCCUAGCUGCCGCUAAUCACCCAAGGUUCCGCGCUCACAAAUGAAAAAAAAUUAUAGAAAUAAAUCUGACAAGAUAGAAAAGAACGAAAUUACCAUAAAAAUAUAGAUCUCGAUGAGAGGAAUCCAACAGUGCAAAUUCCGACUGGCGGAACAGAAAAUACAAUUCCGGCAAGACCCACCGUCGUCGAAUGAAAAACAAUUGCAGAAACAGAUCCAGCGCUCCAAACUGAAUGAAAUUACCACAAAAAUAUGCAUCUCGAUGAGAGGAAUCCAACGGUGGGUAGCCCGUCAAAUUCCGACUGGUGGAUAACAAAAUACACAUCCGGCAAGACCCACUGUCGUCGAGAUACGCGUCGACUGAAAGACAAUUACAGAAACAGAUCCAGCGCUCCAUACUGAAUGAAAUCACCACCAAAAGAAAGAGCUCGAGGAGAGGAAUCCAACGGUAGUUAAACCAUCGAAUUCCGACCACCGGAGAGAGAUUUAUGACUUCGGGAAGCAACUUUGCCGGUUGGAGAUCUAUGGAGGCUUGAUUUGAAUCUGAGAGUUGAGAGAGGAAGAGAGAGACGACCGUGAGUGGCUAUGGUUUAAAACUAAUUUUAAAAGGGCAUUUUAGGUACUUUAGGGUGGGCUAGGGGGUCUGUCAGAUUAAUUUCAAAAUAGAAAAGAUAUGCACGAGUAUGUAAUUAGAUUGGUGGUUACUUAUAUAUAAUUUCCAUAUGAGGGGAUUUCUGAAAUAAUCCCUUCUCUUUUAUAGGGAGGAAAAAAAUGAAGAAAUCAAGAACAGAGCGAGGACUCUCCCAAAUUCCGAUUAAAAUAAAAAGGAAAAAGAAAGAGAUAAGAAAAUGACACAAAUAUCUCAGCUUAAAUCACAUGUUACGAAUUCCGGCCAUUUUUGGGCAAAUAUGGUCAAAUUCAAUAUCUUAGCAACAAAAAAUGAAGUUGAGGGAUGAUCGUGCAAAAAAAAAAUGUUUGGGGGGGCAAAAUGCAAAAAAAACCAAAGUACAUGGGCAAAGUGCACUUAACCCUUAUAUUAAUACUCAAACUAUCAAUAUUUUCAGAACCGGAGCGAACACGAAACCGGUUAUACAUUUGGGUCACGGUUGGACCGGUUCAACCGGGGUCGACCCGGGUUUUUUAAUUUUAAAUUAUUUAUUUAUAAUUUUAAAUUAAUUAUCUUAAUAUAAAUUAAAACAUAUUCCGAUCCUUAACUAUCAACAUAAAAUUAAUUCUUUAUUUUAUUUAUUAAUUAUAUAAUCAUAUUUGAAACACAAAGAAAAUUAAUUCUACAAUAUAAAUGAUAAUUAAUUAAUUAUUUAAUAAUAGAAUCAAUAUAAAUUACUAACCCAAACCCUAAUUUAGUUCUUUGUGACGUCUCUUCAUCUUUUGCCUCUUUUUCAUUCCAUUCAACAAUGGUGCUUCCCCUUCCCAACUAAAUACACAUAAUCAAAUCUUUCACUAAAUCUGCAGCAAAUCGGAAAACCAAACAUUAUUCCCCAUUCGUUUCAUCUGUUCCCUUUAUAUUUUGAUAUUGAAUCCGGUUUACCCCNNNNNNNNNNNNNNNNNNNNNNNNNNNNNNNNNNNNNNNNNNNNNNNNNNNNNNNNNNNNNNNNNNNNNNNNNNNNNNNNNNNNNNNNNNNNNNNNNNNNNNNNNNNNNNNNNNNNNNNNNNNNNNNNNNNNNNNNNNNNNNNNNNNNNNNNNNNNNNNNNNNNNNNNNNNNNNNNNNNNNNNNNNNNNNNNNNNNNNNNNNNNNNNNNNNNNNNNNNNNNNNNNNNNNNNNNNNNNNNNNNNNNNNNNNNNNNNNNNNNNNNNNNNNNNNNNNNNNNNNNNNNNNNNNNNNNNNNNNNNNNNNNNNNNNNNNNNNNNNNNNNNNNNNNNNNNNNNNNNNNNNNNNNNNNNNNNNNNNNNNNNNNNNNNNNNNNNNNNNNNNNNNNNNNNNNNNNNNNNNNNNNNNNNNNNNNNNNNNNNNNNNNNNNNNNNNNNNNNNNNNNNNNNNNNNNNNNNNNNNNNNNNNNNNNNNNNNNNNNNNNNNNNNNNNNNNNNNNNNNNNNNNNNNNNNNNNNNNNNNNNNNNNNNNNNNNNNNNNNNNNNNNNNNNNNNNNNNNNNNNNNNNNNNNNNNNNNNNNNNNNNNNNNNNNNNNNNNNNNNNNNNNNNNNNNNNNNNNNNNNNNNNNNNNNNNNNNNNNNNNNNNNNNUUUAAUAUAAAUUCUUGGAUGACUAUUACCCAUCCAGCUGAUUUAUUUGCCAUUCGAGUCAUGUAGACACGGUCACGGGCCGGUUCGGGCCGGUUCCGGGCCGGUUCGGACCGGUUCACGGUUCACAUUUUCUGGAACCGGAACCGGCCCGUGGCGUGCACGGUUCACCGGGCCGGUUCACGGGCCUAUCCGGGUCGGCCCGGAAAUUUUGAAUUUUUUUUUUUUUUGUUUUUUUUUUUUGAAAUAUUUAAUGAAUAAGUAAAUUAAAAGAAAUACUUUUAAAUAGAUAAAGGAAAAGGAAAUAAAUGAAAAGUCAAUUUAGAAGCACAAGUUUGAAAUAUUUGAUGAAUAAGUAAAUUAUAUGAAAAAUUGGGGUGUGAGGGUAUUUAUAGGAAAAAUUGGGGGGUUGGGGGCAAAAAAAAUUCAAAAAAAAACAAAAUUGGGGUGUGACGGUAUUUAUAGGAAAAAUUAGGGGGGAAAAAAAUUCAAAAAACUUCAAAAAAAAAUAAAUAACGGCCGGUUCACCCGAGCCGGUUCACUAGUCGUUAUUUGCUUUUUUUUUGAAUUUUUUUGAAUAUUUUUUUUUUUUUAAAUCCGGGUGAACCGCCGGGCCGGCCCGGCGGUUCACGGUUCACCAAAUCUAAGAACCGGGCCCGUCCCGGGUAGGACGGGCCGGUUCACAGUUCCGGGCCGGUUCACACGGUCAACGGGCCGGUUUGAGCCGUCAACGGGCCGGUUCCGGGCCCAAAACCGGCCCGUGGCCGUGUCUAGAGUCAUGAAAGAAAAUUCAUUGGUGCAGAGGCUAAUACAGAUGUUGCACUUUGCUCUGGGGGCUAAUACAGAGGUUGAAAUUAUGCGGGCCAUCAAUCUCAUUAUCAGAGUCUAAUUUGGGCAUUGGUGGUCGAUCAUCCGAAAGAGUGGACGAUCUUUCCAAGCUAGAAUUGUUGUUCUUUGGUUGGGGAAGAAAGUUUAGAAUUUUAGUAGAUAGUCAUUUGUCUUUACGGUUAUAUAAACUUUGUAGAUUUUUUUAGAAUUUCUGAGACUAUUGAAGGACUACACGGUAACAUUUCAUUUCAGUGGUGUGAGCCACGAAACAAAAGACAUGAUUACAGAAGAAGUGUCUGUGAGUAAAUAAUUAGCCGAAAAUCCUUAGAUAAAUGUCGAGAAAGAGAAUUAGGCAAUCGAACUAGCAAGAUAGAAGAACAAUUUUCUAUAGCGGUCUCUUUUGGAGUUUAGUCUAUCCAAUAGAUAUUUAAAUCAUAGUGUCAUAUCUCAUAUAUCAACAUUUCUUCUUUUGUAGGAGAAUGCUAAUCAACUUCGGGGGGAGAAAGCUUCUUCAUCAAUUCAGGGUUUUGUGGGCUUAAUCUUGGUACUAAUCAUCAUUUUGUUGAAUGUUAAUGACUUCAAUUUUCAAUGGUUAAGGUUGUUAGUUAUGUUGAGAGUUGUAUUAAUUUAGUAAUUUUGGUGAUCUCUAACAAUUUUUAGCUAGUACUUUUUUUUUUCUAUUGUCAAUUCAAGACCUAACUACAUGAGUCAUUUCUUCCCUUUUUCCUUAAAAUGUGCUCUAUAGUGGAUUCUCCCACAAUAAUUGAGUAAACUGCAAAAACUACCCCUGUGUUAUCUCGAAAUAGCGAAAACCCCCCUGUGAUAAAUAAACUAGCAAAAACCCCCCUGUGAAAUUUAGUCAAAGGCAGAAUCCCCCCUAGCUGAUUUUUUAGACUUGAAAUGACAAAAUUGUCCCUCAAAAUGUAUUUAUAUAUAUACAUAUUAUAUGUAUAUUUAUUCUUUUUAAUUUGUUUGUUUAGAAAUUAAAAAAAAUAGUAAACAACUAGAAUUGAUUAUUUUUUAAAUAAAAUAAUUAAAAUAUUUAUAAGUAUUCUUUAUGCAAAAAAUUACAUAAAACUAGACUGUUUAUCACCAAUAUCAAAUAUUUGUAUGAGUAAAACUACAAUUAGCACUACGAACAAACCAUAAGAUAACAUGCAACAUAAAUCAUAGUCAUCUUAUAAAUCAAAAGUUAAGAUUUAAUUUAAAAUCUUACAUGAAGCACUCAAGUCUUACUUCCAAAGCAAACAUUUAAAAUAAUUCUCACAUCAAAAUCAAAUAUUUAAAGUUAGGGGUCAUUAGCAAUAAACCCCUCAUAUAGAUAAUAAAUGGUGAUAUGUCCACCCCUUCAAUCUUUCUUUGUGAUAGCCCCUAGAAUUUGUAUUUCCCAAUUGUACCCUUAUGUCAAUUAGGAUAAUUAGUCUCAAUUAUUCCUUUUUUCUCUCUUUCCAUGACAAUAAUCUAAUUCCUAAAAAUCUCCUUCUAAAUUCCUAAAAAUCUCCUUCCAAAUUCCUAAAAAUUUGCUACCAAAUCAAAAAAAAAAUUAUUUUUUAUUAUUUUCGGAUUUUUUAGCCAUUUUUCAUUUAUUUUUAUUUUUUAAUAAUUUUUUUACUAAAAAAAUAAUUUUUUUUUAAUUUUUUUUAAACGAAAAAUUGAAUUUUUUUUUUCUUGACAGAUUUACAACUCCGAAUAUGACUAUAGUUAAACAUGACUAUAUGUGACUAUAUAGACAUAUUAUUUUUUAUAUUGCAUUUUUUUAUAUUUUCAACUUAAAAAUUUCGAUUAUAUAAUGUGGUAUAGUCAUGUUUACCAAAUUAUAUAAAACAAAGAAGAUUGCCCUAUUGUUUACGAAAACAAUCCAAUCAAAAUUCACACAAAAAAUACAAAUUUUGAAUCUAGUUAUUCGAAUAUGACUACAAUCAUAUUCGAAAAAUACAUAAAUAUGACCAUAGUCAUAUUCGAACAUGACUAUAGUCCUGUUAUGAAUUUUUUUUUGAAAAAUACAUAAAGAUAGAAAAAUACGAAAGAGAGUCAUGGGGAGUCGACGACAACGGCGAUGGUGCCGGUGGUGAAGUAAAGAGAGUGAGAGAGGCGGCGACGGUGGUGGUGGUGGGGGACAAAUCUGGAAAAAUGAGAAAGAUAACGAAAAAGAGAGAAAGAGUCUUACGUGGAAACGAAUGAGGAGGCAGCGGCAACGAGCAUGGUUGUGUACAAAUUUAUGUGGAGACGAUGGUGGCGUAAAGAGAGAGAAAUCGAGAAAAACAACGAACACGAGAAAUAAAUAAAUCACUAAUCGAGUAAAUCAACAAUAGUCAUAUUUGAACCAGAGUAGUCACGUUGAUGCUGAUGUUUCAGAUUUGGAGAGAAAAAAAAAGAAAAAAAUCGAAAAAACCUGGGGAGGCGACGACAACGACGGUGAAUGACAGAGAGAGUGGGGACGUGGCUACGGUGGCGGUGGUGGACAAAUCUGGGAAAAAAAAGAAAAAAAAAAAAAGAAAAAAUCAAGAGAAAAGGAAAAAGGGAAAUCUCCAUGUAACGCAUCCGACGAAGGGCGGCGACGAGGUUGGGGAGGCACCGCCACCACCACUUGUACGGAGGAGGGCCUCCUGCAUUAGGUUUCGGUCGACCGGAGGUUGAAAGGUAUUUUUUACUCCGACGGUGACGAGUGCACGAACAACGGUGGCUAUGGUGAGUGGACUACGGCGGUGGUGUGAAAACGACGAAGGAGGGCGCCGCGGUACUGGAGAAAGACAGAAANNNNNNNNNNNNNNNNNNNNNNNNNNNNNNNNNNNNNNNNNNNNNNNNNNNNNNNNNNNNNNNNNNNNNNNNNNNNNNNNNNNNNNNNNNNNNNNNNNNNAACCUAAUCACAUAAGGGCACUUUAGUCAUAUCAUGUCUGGUUAGGGGUGUCUCACUAAGUAAGAAUGAAACUUAGGUGUAGGCAAAAGUCUCUAAUAGUCAAUUGAGUUUAGUUCAAAAUAUUUUAAUUUGAGGGGUAUUGCAUAUUUCCCCUUAAAGUUAAUAGUAAAUGCAUGUAAAAGACAAUAAAACUAAAGUCUUAUGUUUUUUUUUAAGAUUAAAACCUACUAUUGUUUAAUUGUUGAGUUGUAUUAGGCUAUUAGUUAGGGCAGAAAUUAAAUCGUAAUUGAUUUCUUGUGAUACAUGGAAAAAAAUUCUCACGUUACAACUUCCCUUUUUUGUUUUUUUUUUUCUCUGUGCACAAAACGACGUCGUUUUAAUGUUUUUUCUGGGAAUUAAUUAAAAAUGCGCGUUCAGCCAAAAAACCAUUUUUAUCGGUUUUCGGUCGGACCGAUCAAAAAACCGAUUUUUAACAAUUGAACCGAUUUUUUGUAAUUUUCGGGUUUAUAGUGCUAACCGGACCGGUUCGCGGUUGAACCGGUCGAACCGGCCGGUUCGGUCCGAUUUUCAAAACAUUGGUUUUUUCUAUGAUAUCAUAUAUGAUUUAUAACUUAAACUGCAUAUUUAUUUGAUAAAUUAUUCUCUCGACCUUUUAUGAUUAUCUCGCAAGUCCUAACUUUAUUGACAAAAGAACACUUGCGAAAAAUCCUAAAAAAUCACCGCUCACUUCAAGAUUAUUUUUGUGGACUUGACUAUGGUGAGAUAAUCUGUGUUCUAAACUUAUAUGAGAUAUGCAUUAAUCACCAUUAAUUUUAUAAGGUUAAAUCUGGACCCUAGGAAAAUAAUAUGUCUUAUAUUCUAAAAAAUGAAAUAGUUUACCAAAUUAUCCUUCGAUUAUUUUUUUAAUCAAACCAAUAUAAAAUAGAUUAAUAUUGAAUUGUCUAAGUUACCCCCGAUGAUAUUUUACUGAAAUAAUUAAUUUAAAUCUGUUUUAAAUAUACAGUAUUAUUUUACAUAAUUACCCUUAAUCAAUAUUUUUCUAAAUAAGGACAUUAUUAAUUAAAAUAAUUAUGUUUGACCUCUUAAUUAUCUGCAUCACAUGUCACAAAAUGUAUUUACUUAAAAUUGAGAAUUUAACUAGAAUCCUAACACGAAUUUAUUAGGAUCCUAAUUAUAUAUGCAUUACAAUUUUUACGGAUUAAUUUGUCGAUGUAAAUUGUUUAUCAAAAAAAAAAGUCAAUUUAACUAUAAUUUAACAAGAACCCUAAUUACGAAUCCGCAUAACCUGAAUUACAAAUAAAUCCAUAGGGCAACCUAGAAUCACAAUUAGACGACCUUCGAUCUUUAAUACAAUAUGAAUAUGGGAUUAAAGUAAGAAAACUAUUAAGGGUUUCAACCAAAACCUUAAUUAUUGAAAUACAAGUAAUAUACCUAAUUCUUCGGAAUUAGACAUCCUUAAAUAAGCUUAUUCUGAAGAAAUAGUGUAACGAUGCACCAAUUCGAAUUUGUAGCAAAGUAAGAAUAAAUUAAAGGGUCGAAAAAAAAUGAUGAAUAACUGAAUUGAUCGUAAAACCGUAAGACCAGAUUUCUAAGAUGAAGAUGGAGAACUUAUUUGAUUUGAUGAGAGAUUAGGGAUAUAUCAGCAUUAUUAGAAAAUAAUAUCGAUUAGUUUUUUUAUCAUGUUUGUGUAUAAGAUUAUUAUGAACAUUCAAAAAAACAGUAAUAAAUUAAUUAAAAUUCCAUUAAAAUAGAGAGAGUAAAAUUGACAUUUCAUUAAUAAUUUAUAAUUGCCGAUUUUUUUAAAAUAAUAAUUGCACAAAGAGUAUUUUGCAACAAUAGAUUGUGUUGCUGGGACACGUGUAUCCAAUCGCCGCCGCCUCCACCACCGCCGUGCCCUCUUCCUCUCUCGUCCAAUUCACCUCCGUAAGAUCUACAUACCUCCACAAAACCUUCAAAUUGAACCACCUAACAAACAGAAUCCUAAAAAAACCAUCCACCUUCUCAAAUUUAACCCUAACAAAAACCCGCAGCAGCAGCAGCAGCAGUUCCCAAUUAACCACCCAUUCCGAGAAACCCUCCAACAGCGAUUGGGAAUUUCCGGACGAAGUAAUCGGAGAAGAAGAUGAAGACGAGGGAUGCCCCUGGGAAGGCGCGAUUUUGUACAGGCGAAACGCCGCCGUUUCGCAUUUGGAGUACUGCACUACUCUCGAGAGGCUAGGGUUAGGAAAAGUAUCCUCGGAAUUCUCGAAGAACCGGGAUUCGGAGAUGGGGUUGCGCGUGGUGAAAUCCGUUAAGGAUUUUCC